This 1482-nucleotide unclassified non-coding RNA is filed under the name Hevea brasiliensis (rubber tree). Lineage: Eukaryota; Viridiplantae; Streptophyta; Magnoliopsida; Malpighiales; Euphorbiaceae. The record is from RNAcentral.
GAAAAAAUAAAAUAUAUAAUUACGAACCCUUCAUCUGCUCGGUUAAAGGCUCUGCCCUUAUAACCAAAAUCUGUGGUCUGCUGAUCUAUCGUCAGAUUUUCUCCGAUCACCGCUGUCUCCGCCAUCAUGGCUUACGAAGACGAUCCUUACCGCGAUGAGGAUGGAGAGCCGUUGAUGGACUACGACGAAAUGCAAUCAGACGGUGGGCAAUCCCCAGAACCUCGCCACGAUGAUUUCCUGGAAGAUGAUGUUGAUGGGUGGGGUGAACAAGAGCGAGAGAGGUCUCAAACUCCGGUAUAUGACGUCGAUAAGGUUGACAAGCCGAGAAAGAGGUUGGUGAAGAAGAGCGAUUCAGGGAUGGGUGCCAAGGAAAAUUAUGUGGUGCCUGAGUUGGUUGAUGAGGAUGAAGAUGAGGGGUUUGGGAGGGAGUAUGCAAUGGAAACAAAAAAGAGGAAGAAAUUUGGCAAGGAAGGAUCUGGGAGUAGUGGGAAGGAUAGGAAGAAAUACAGUAAGGGGGAGAAGAAGUUUUCUAGUGGAGGCAAGGGGGUAAUUGGUUCAAAGUCAGGGUUGAUGAAGAAAGGGAUGUAUUCAGGGAAGUUGUCGGGGAAAGAAGAUGGCGAGGUGAAGGAGAUGUGGGAUACAAUUGCUGGGGGUGAUUCUGAGGAUGAUCAAGAGGGUCCUAGGACUGUGGAUGAUGACAACUUCAUAGAUGACAGUGGUGUAGAUCCUGCUGAUCGGUAUGGGAGUGACAAUGAACCACGCUCUCCUGGUGAUGCUCCUCAGGCAGAGGAGGGUGAAGAAGAUGAGGAAAUCAAGGAACUCUUCAAGAUGGGUAAGAAAAGGAAGAAGAAUGAGAAAAGUCCUGCAGAAAUUGCUUUGCUAGUCGAGAAUGUCAUGGCUGAGCUUGAGGUUACUGCUGAGGAGGAUGCAGAACUUAAUAGACGGGGUAAACCUGCUAUCAAUAAACUCAAAAAGUUGCCUCUUCUUACUGAGGUCCUCUCCAAGAAGCAGCUCCAGCAAGAAUUUAUAGAUCAUGGAGUACUAACUCUACUGAAAAAUUGGCUUGAACCUCUUCCAGAUGGAAGUUUGCCCAAUAUAAAUAUCCGUGCAGCGAUUUUGAGGAUAUUGACUGAUUUUCCAAUUGAUCUGGAACAGUAUGAUAGAAGAGAACAAUUGAAGAAAAGUGGUCUUGGAAAGGUUAUUAUGUUCUUAUCAAAAUCUGAUGAGGAAACUACAUCCAACAGAAAGCUUGCUAAGGAUUUGGUUGAUAAAUGGAGUCGGCCCAUAUUUAAUAAGAGUACACGAUUUGAGGACAUGAGAAGUAUUGAUGAUGAUCGGGCCUACAGAAGACCAACAGUGAGAAGGCCUGUAAAUAAUUCUGCAGGGAUGGAAUCUAGGGAUGGUGAUCUGGACUUGGAUAUUUCACGGGAGCGAAGAUCUGGUCAGUCAUCUGACAGACAACAUGCUUCUAGGCCAGAAGCA